CUACCAGGGUAUCUAAUCCUGUUUGCUACCCACGCUUUCGUAUCUCAGCGUCAAUGUUUGGCCAGAUAGCCGCCUUCGCCACCGGUGUUCCUCCAGAUAUCUACGUAUUUCACCACUACACCUGGAAUUCCACUAUCCUCUCCAACAUUCAAGCCAAGCAGUAUCAAAUGCACUUCCCGGGUUGAGCCCGGGGCUUUCACAUCUGACUUACAAGGCCGCCUACAUACUCUUUACGCCCAAUGAUUCCGAACAACGCUAGGACCCCUCGUAUUACCGCGGCGGCUGGCAC
RNAcentral lists this ribosomal RNA (289 nucleotides) under uncultured Pseudomonadota bacterium. Its description in RNAcentral is "uncultured proteobacterium partial 16S ribosomal RNA". Lineage: Bacteria; Pseudomonadati; Pseudomonadota. The record is from RNAcentral.